UAUUUGCUUGAAUUACUUCAUCUAGUCCAAGGUCCAUUCUUCAGAAGAAACAUCAUAUUUGUUAUUCCAUGGAUCAACAAGAAUCACUGAAAAAACUCCGGCGCCUUGAACAUCGAACCAGGCCCAAAGUUCUGAAACAUAUCAAAAUCGCAAGCGUAUUAAAGUCGGUAACCCUUCAAGCCUGAAGGUUUUGUAAUAAGCUAAAAAAAAUUGAUUACCUGUAAACCAACCAUCAUGCUCAAUAUAUCCAAUGUAUUGUUCCCCUCAACAAGACUAAUUUUCUCAUUGAUUGAAAAGCUUGCAUCAUCAUGAUUACCAUAUCCAAAAGCU
This is a long non-coding RNA of Hibiscus syriacus, 330 nucleotides long. RefSeq lists it as uncharacterized. The transcript is spliced from 2 exons. The record is from RefSeq and is a predicted model, not a curated record. Lineage: Eukaryota; Viridiplantae; Streptophyta; Magnoliopsida; Malvales; Malvaceae.